Non-coding RNA from Pelobates cultripes (western spadefoot toad), 315 nucleotides. The record is from the annotation of a GenBank genome assembly. Lineage: Eukaryota; Metazoa; Chordata; Amphibia; Anura; Pelobatidae.
GCCUGCAAUACCCACUGACCCCCUCCCAGCAGAAGAGCUGGCAUCUGGGCAGAGCUCUGUUAGCCUCUGCCCCCAUUUCCCCUGUAUCAGAGCCUGACUUACCACGGGUUACCCCAGUGGAAGAGCUGGCAGCAGGGCAGAGCGCCGCUGGCCUCUGCCCCCCAAGCAACACCAGCAGUUUGCCUAGCUGCACCAGGGAGACCGAGAGUGCUGCGCUGUCCCACUACAAACUUGAACCUACAGACCAGUACCAUUUAUUGUGGGGGGGUUACUCUGCGUAUUUUUCUUUGUGGGUGGGCUGCCCGACUAAUCUAG